GUCGCAAGACCAAAGUGGGGGACCUUCGGGCCUCAUGCCAUCAGAUGUGCCCAGAUGGGAUUAGCUAGUAGGUGGGGUAACGGCUCACCUAGGCGACGAUCCCUAGCUGGUCUGAGAGGAUGACCAGCCACACUGGAACUGAGACACGGUCCAGACUCCUACGGGAGGCAGCAGUGGGGAAUAUUGCACAAUGGGCGCAAGCCUGAUGCAGCCAUGCCGCGUGUGUGAAGAAGGCCUUCGGGUUGUAAAGCACUUUCAGCGGGGAGGAAGGCGUUAAGGUUAAUAACCUUGGCGAUUGACGUUACCCGCAGAAGAAGCACCGGCUAACUCCGUGCCAGCAGCCGCGGUAAUACGGAGGGUGCAAGCGUUAAUCGGAAUUACUGGGCGUAAAGCGCACGCAGGCGGUCUGUCAAGUCGGAUGUGAAAUCCCCGGGCUCAACCUGGGAACUGCAUUCGAAACUGGCAGGCUAGAGUCUUGUAGAGGGGGGUAGAAUUCCAGGUGUAGCGGUGAAAUGCGUAGAGAUCUGGAGGAAUACCGGUGGCGAAGGCGGCCCCCUGGACAAAGACUGACGCUCAGGUGCGAAAGCGUGGGGAGCAAACAGGAUUAGAUACCCUGGUAGUCCACGCCGUAAACGAUGUCGAUUUGGAGGUUGUGCCCUUGAGGCGUGGCUUCCGGAGCUAACGCGUUAAAUCGACCGCCUGGGGAGUACGGCCGCAAGGUUAAAACUCAAAUGAAUUGACGGGGGCCCGCACAAGCGGUGGAGCAUGUGGUUUAAUUCGAUGCAACGCGAAGAACCUUACCUGGUCUUGACAUCCACAGAACUUUCCAGAGAUGGAUUGGUGCCUUCGGGAACUGUGAGACAGGUGCUGCAUGGCUGUCGUCAGCUCGUGUUGUGAAAUGUUGGGUUAAGUCCCGCAACGAGCGCAACCCUUAUCCUUUGUUGCCAGCGGUUCGGCCGGGAACUCAAAGGAGACUGCCAGUGAUAAACUGGAGGAAGGUGGGGAUGACGUCAAGUCAUCAUGGCCCUUACGACCAGGGCUACACACGUGCUACAAUGGCAUAUACAAAGAGAAGCGACCUCGCGAGAGCAAGCGGACCUCAUAAAGUAUGUCGUAGUCCGGAUUGGAGUCUGCAACUCGACUCCAUGAAGUCGGAAUCGCUAGUAAUCGUAGAUCAGAAUGCUACGGUGAAUACGUUCCCGGGCCUUGUACACACCGCCCGUCACACCAUGGGAGUGGGUUGCAAAAGAAGUAGGUAGCUUAACCUUCGGGAGGGCGCUUACCACUUUGUGAUUCAUGACUGGGGUGAAGUCGUAACAAGGUAACCGUAGGGGAACCUGCGGUUGGAUCACCUCCUUA
RNAcentral lists this ribosomal RNA (1359 nucleotides) under Klebsiella pneumoniae. RNAcentral describes it as "bacterial SSU rRNA". It matches the Rfam family "Bacterial small subunit ribosomal RNA", at positions 192 to 1533 of the family's 1533-position model. Lineage: Bacteria; Pseudomonadati; Pseudomonadota; Gammaproteobacteria; Enterobacterales; Enterobacteriaceae. The record is from RNAcentral. RNAcentral also lists the same sequence under 1 other name.